RNAcentral lists this ribosomal RNA (507 nucleotides) under uncultured bacterium. RNAcentral's name for it is "bacterial SSU rRNA". It matches the Rfam family "Bacterial small subunit ribosomal RNA", at positions 122 to 647 of the family's 1533-position model. The record is from RNAcentral.
CAACCUGCCCUGUACCGGGGGAUAACACUUAGAAAUAGGUGCUAAUACCGCAUAAUAGGGAAUACCGCAUGGUAAUCCUUUGAAAACUCCGGUGGUACAGGAUGGGCCCGCGUCUGAUUAGCCAGUUGGCGGGGUAACGGCCCACCAAAGCGACGAUCAGCAGCCGGCCUGAGAGGGUGGACGGCCACACUGGGACUGAGACACGGCCCAGACUCCUACGGGAGGCAGCAGUGGGGAAUAUUGCACAAUGGGGGGAACCCUGAUGCAGCGACGCCGCGUGAGUGAAGAAGUAUUUCGGUAUGUAAAGCUCUGUCAGCAGGGAAGAAGAAAGACGGUACCUGACCAAGAAGCCCCGGCUAACUACGUGCCAGCAGCCGCGGUAAUACGUAGGGGGCAAGCGUUAUCCGGAUUUACUGGGUGUAAAGGGAGCGUAAACGGCAGGGCAAGUCUGGAGUGAAAGGCAGGGGCCCAACCCCUGGACUGCUCUGGAAACUGUCCGGCUGGAGU